RNAcentral lists this ribosomal RNA (228 nucleotides) under Escherichia coli. RNAcentral's name for it is "partial 23S ribosomal RNA". It matches the Rfam family "Bacterial large subunit ribosomal RNA", at positions 1654 to 1864 of the family's 2925-position model. Lineage: Bacteria; Pseudomonadati; Pseudomonadota; Gammaproteobacteria; Enterobacterales; Enterobacteriaceae. The record is from RNAcentral.
CCGACACAGGUGGUCAGGUAGAGAAUACCAAGGCGCUUGAGAGAACUCGGGUGAAGGAACUAGGCAAAAUGGUGCCGUAACUUCGGGAGAAGGCACGCUGAUAUGUAGGUGAAGUCCCUUGCGGAUGGAGCUGAAAUCAGUCGAAGAUACCAGCUGGCUGCAACUGUUUAUUAAAAACACAGCACUGUGCAAACACGAAAGUGGACGUAUACGGUGUGACGCCUGCCC